Molecule: non-coding RNA, 28 nt
Filed under: Mus musculus (house mouse)
Lineage: Eukaryota; Metazoa; Chordata; Mammalia; Rodentia; Muridae
Source: RNAcentral
UGCAAUCCUGUUCACAGAGAAUCAAUCU